Molecule: ribosomal RNA, 253 nt
Filed under: uncultured bacterium
Lineage: Bacteria
Description: partial 16S ribosomal RNA
Rfam family: Bacterial small subunit ribosomal RNA
Source: RNAcentral
GACGAAGGGGGCUAGCGUUGCUCGGAAUCACUGGGCGUAAAGCGCACGUAGGCGGCUUCCUAAGUCAGGGGUGAAAUCCUGGAGCUCAACUCCAGAACUGCCUUUGAUACUGAGGAGCUCGAGUCCGGGAGAGGUGAGUGGAACUCCGAGUGUAGAGGUGAAAUUCGUAGAUAUUCGGAAGAACACCAGUGGCGAAGGCGGCUCACUGGCCCGGUACUGACGCUGAGGUGCGAAAGCGUGGGGAGCAAACAGG